UUUUGUGCAACGAUUGGUGCAACUGGAGCAAGAGUGCUUCCAUCUCACCAAGUCCUUGAAGGUUCAUGAGGAGGCUGCGAAGUCUUUUGUCAUGGAGGGGAGGGACCAUGAAGUGUCGCAAGAGAAGUUGGAGAAUCACUAUAAGUCCUUGAACAAGAAGUAUUAAGGUGAGUACUCUUGAUUUUUGAGUAUUUUUGACUAUAGUCGAGGGUUCUGAUCUGUUCCUUUGUUGCAGAGCUCAAGUGAAAAGAGGCUGUUGCGAGUAGCCAGCUUCUUGACUGGAGGAAUGCUCAUGACCGAGUAGCUGAUGAGGUUGACCGUCUCCGGGCAUCACAAGCUGAAGCUCAGGCUGUAUGUGAGCAUCAGAGGGAUAGAAAAAAAUUAGAAUGGAGUUAUGCU
Molecule: long non-coding RNA, 399 nt
Filed under: Setaria viridis
Lineage: Eukaryota; Viridiplantae; Streptophyta; Magnoliopsida; Poales; Poaceae
Description: long non-coding RNA (SVIR_LNC002215)
Source: RNAcentral